AACGAACGCUGGCGGCAGGCUUAACACAUGCAAGUCGAACGCAUCCUUCGGGGUGAGUGGCAGACGGGUGAGUAACGCGUGGGAACGUGCCCUUCAGUUCGGGAUAACCCAGGGAAACUUGGGCUAAUACCGGAUACGUGCGAGAGCAGAAAGAUUUAUCGCUGAAGGAUCGGCCCGCGUCUGAUUAGCUAGUUGGUGGGGUAAUGGCCCACCAAGGCGACGAUCAGUAGCUGGUCUGAGAGGAUGAUCAGCCACAUUGGGACUGAGACACGGCCCAAACUCCUACGGGAGGCAGCAGUGGGGAAUAUUGGACAAUGGGCGCAAGCCUGAUCCAGCCAUGCCGCGUGAGUGAUGACGGCCUUCGGGUUGUAAAGCUCUUUUGUCCGGGAAGAUAAUGACUGUACCGGAAGAAUAAGCCCCGGCAAACUUCGUGCCAGCCGCCGCCGUAA
This 449-nucleotide ribosomal RNA is filed under the name uncultured bacterium. RNAcentral's name for it is "partial 16S ribosomal RNA". It matches the Rfam family "Bacterial small subunit ribosomal RNA", at positions 29 to 523 of the family's 1533-position model. The record is from RNAcentral.